This 300-nucleotide unclassified non-coding RNA is filed under the name uncultured Mortierella. RNAcentral's name for it is "sequence contains 5.8S rRNA gene, ITS2". The stretch from base 1 to 71 matches the Rfam family "5.8S ribosomal RNA", at positions 84 to 154 of the family's 154-position model. Lineage: Eukaryota; Fungi; Mortierellomycota; Mortierellomycetes; Mortierellales; Mortierellaceae. The record is from RNAcentral.
GUGAGUCAUCGAAUCUUUGAACGCAUAUUGCGCUCUUUGGUAUUCCGAAGAGCAUGCUUGUUUGAGUAUCAGUAAACACCUCAAAGCUUUUGGAUUUUUUAAUCGAAAAGCUUUGGACUUGAGCAAUCCCAACACCAAUCUUUUUGAGAUCGGUGGCGGGUUGCUUGAAAUGCAGGUGCAGCUGGACAUUCUCCUGAGCUAAAAGCAUAUCUAUUUAGUCCUCGUCAAACAGGAUUAUUACUUUUGCUGCAGCUAACAUAAAGGAUAAUUGUCCUCUUUGCUGACUGAUGCAGGAUUUUA